GGGAAGUGGAAGACAAAUAGGGACCACACAUCUUGAAGAACUUCAGUUACAACAAGGUAAAAUCACCAUGCUUAUAAUUAGUCAAGAGAAUUAAGUCUCCUCUCCUCACUAAAGGCAUAAGGCUUUGAAAAGGCACAGGUUUUAAGGAUCAGGCUGAAGGGAAACAAACAGCACUGCACUGGUGACUCAGAUUUAGGCCAUGGCGCAGUAAGAAGAACUGAAGAGGCCAUCAGUCCUCCCCAUCCCUUAUAUACUUGGUGCAGAGCAUGAAGAGAGUAGAGGCACAGGCCCUGACCUAUGGAUACUGCGUUCAAAAUUUCUCUAGUCUAUGGCGCAUGCACACCCACAAUGGAAUACACAUAGGGACCAGCACUCAAAGAAGAACUUGCUUUUCGGCCUUCUACUCCCACCACAAUUUCUGCAUGAGAAAGCAGAGCACAGCUGCUGUACCUUUUCAGCCACACUCGGUCAGAAGUUAUGUAUAUUUGUUCCCCUUUAUACCAUGCAAUGGCACACAUGUUGUACAUUAAUGGGUGUAAACAGUAUAUAGUAAUUUAGCUCACUAACAAGAUGUUUUAGAGUUCUCCUUUCUUACCAAUCUAAUUAGUGCUCUGUCGCUGGACUUUCGGCCCAAUGCUCUGAGUUUCCUUUUCCGGAUUUGGGCGUUUCCCAGUGCUGAUACCAGUGCUUCCUGUUCUUCCUGAAAAAUGAAAUCAACACCUAACGUGAGAAACUAUUUUGCUUUUUAUGUAUCCAAAUGACAUCUUUUAAAACAUAAAGUCACCUU
Long non-coding RNA from Mauremys mutica (yellowpond turtle), 787 nucleotides. RefSeq lists it as uncharacterized. The record is from RefSeq and is a predicted model, not a curated record. The transcript is spliced from 3 exons. Lineage: Eukaryota; Metazoa; Chordata; Testudines; Geoemydidae.